Molecule: ribosomal RNA, 492 nt
Filed under: uncultured bacterium
Lineage: Bacteria
Description: partial 16S ribosomal RNA
Rfam family: Bacterial small subunit ribosomal RNA
Source: RNAcentral
AGUGAACGCUGGCGGUAGGCCUAACACAUGCAAGUCGAACGGCAGCACAAUAAGAGCUUGCUCUUACGGGUGGCGAGUGGCGGACGGGUGAGGAAUACAUCGGAAUCUACUUUUUCGUGGGGGAUAACGUAGGGAAACUUACGCUAAUACUGCAUACGACCUACGGGUGAAAGCAGGGGAUCUUCGGACCUUGCGCGAUUGAAUGAGCCGAUGUCGGAUUAGCUAGUUGGCGGGGUAAAGGCCCACCAAGGCGACGAUCCGUAGCUGGUCUGAGAGGAUGAUCAGCCACACUGGAACUGAGACACGGUCCAGACUCCUACGGGAGGCAGCAGUGGGGAAUAUUGGACAAUGGGCGCAAGCCUGAUCCAGCCAUACCGCGUGGGUGAAGAAGGCCUUCGGGUUGUAAAGCCCUUUUGUUGGGAAAGAAAAGCAGCAGGUUAAUACCCCGCUGUUCUGACGGUACCCAAAGAAUAAGCACCGGCUAACUUCGUG